CUUGGUCAUUUAGAGGAAGUAAAAGUCGUAACAAGGUCUCCGUUGGUGAACCAGCGGAGGGAUCAUUACCGAGUUAUACAACUCAUCAACCCUGUGAACAUACCUAAAACGUUGCUUCGGCGGGAACAGACGGCCCUGUAACAACGGGCCGCCCCCGCCAGAGGACCCCUAACUCUGUUUUUAUAAUGUUUUUCUGAGUAAACAAGCAAAUAAAUUAAAACUUUCAACAACGGAUCUCUUGGCUCUGGCAUCGAUGAAGAACGCAGCGAAAUGCGAUAAGUAAUGUGAAUUGCAGAAUUCAGUGAAUCAUCGAAUCUUUGAACGCACAUUGCGCCCGCCAGUAUUCUGGCGGGCAUGCCUGUUCGAGCGUCAUUACAACCCUCAGGCCCCCGGGCCUGGCGUUGGGGAUCGGCAGAAGCCCCCUGUGGGCACACGCCGUCCCUCAAAUACAGUGGCGGUCCCGCCGCAGCUUCCAUUGCGUAGUAGCUAACACCUCGCAACUGGAGAGCGGCGCGGCCAUGCCGUAAAACACCCAACUUCUGAAUGUUGACCUCGAAUCAGGUAGGAAUACCCGCUGAACUUAAGCAUAUCAAUAAGCGGAGGAAAAGAAACCAACAGGGAUUGCCCCAGUAACGGCGAGUGAAGCGGCAACAGCUCAAAUUUGAAAUCUGGCCUCGUGCCCGAGUUGUAAUUUGUAGAGGAUGCUUUUGGCGACGCGCCUUCCGAGUUCCCUGGAACGGGACGCCAUAGAGGGUGAGAGCCCCGUCCGGUCGUGCGCCUAGCCUCUGUAAAGCUCCUUCGACGAGUCGAGUUGUUUGGGAAU
RNAcentral lists this small RNA (823 nucleotides) under uncultured Fusarium. RNAcentral's name for it is "eukaryotic LSU rRNA". The stretch from base 548 to 823 matches the Rfam family "Eukaryotic large subunit ribosomal RNA", at positions 1 to 281 of the family's 3401-position model. Lineage: Eukaryota; Fungi; Ascomycota; Sordariomycetes; Hypocreales; Nectriaceae. The record is from RNAcentral.